GCACACGUGAACCCUUAUUGAAUGCAUGGAGGUCAACCCCCUAAGGAGAACUACUAACUAGUGACGGAAAGCGUGUAGUAACGUGAGGGAAAGGUGAAAAGAACCCCGGGAGGGGAGUGAAAUCGAACCUGAAACCCUGCACUUACAAGCUGUGGACGCACAUUUCUUGUGUGACCGCGUACUUUUUGUAGAACGGACCAACGAGUUACGUUAAGUAGCAAGGUUAAGCACUUAAGGUGCGGAGCCGUAGCGAAAGCGAGUUUUAACUGAGCGUUCAGUUACUUGACGUAGACCCGAAACCGGCCGACCUACCCAUCAGCAGGAUGAAGCGACAGUAAAAUUUCGUGUAGGUCCGACCCCUCGAGCCUUUCAAAGCUCGGGGACGACUUGUGGGUAACGGUGGAAUUCCAAUCGAACGCGGAGAUAUCUGGGUCUCCCCGAAAUAGCUUUAGGGCUAGCC
RNAcentral lists this ribosomal RNA (460 nucleotides) under Clostridioides difficile. Its description in RNAcentral is "bacterial LSU rRNA". It matches the Rfam family "Bacterial large subunit ribosomal RNA", at positions 420 to 881 of the family's 2925-position model. The record is from RNAcentral. Lineage: Bacteria; Bacillati; Bacillota; Clostridia; Peptostreptococcales; Peptostreptococcaceae.